AGUCAUAUGCUUAGCUCAAAGAUUAAGCCAUGCAUGUCUAAGUAUAAACACAUUUGUACUGUUAAACUGCAGAUAGCUCAUUACAACAGUUAUAGUUUACUUGACAGUUGACUCGAUACACGGAUAACCGUAGUAACUCUAGGGCUAAUACGUGACAAAACCUCUAUGAGGCGUGCAUAUUAGACUAAAACCAAUGUCAUUAAUUGGAUCGAUAUUAUUCUGUCGGAUCGCGUUGGCUCUGCCGGCGACGUGUCAAUCAAGUUUCUGCCCUAUCAGCUCUGACGGUAGGUUAUUGGCCUACCGUGGCAUUGACGGGUACGGGGAAUCAGGGUUCGAUUCCGGAGAGGCAGCCUGAGAAACGGCUACCACAUCUACGGAAGGCAGCAGGUGCGAAAAUUACCCAAUCCUGACACAGGGAAGUAGUGACAAGCAAUAACAAUUCGCAACCUCUGGUUGCUAUUUGGAAUGAGUACAACGCAAAAGCCUUAACGACCAUCAAGCGGAGGGCAAGCAUGGUGCCAGCAGCCGCGGUAACACCAGCUCCGCUAGUAUAUACUAAAGUUGUUGCUGUUAAAACGCUCGUAGUUGGAUAUCAGUUUGGCGGGCAUGGCCCGGUGGCAUUAGCCGUCGCGCGCCAAAGCGGAAACGCCGCCCGCCAGACUUAAUUCAGGAAACCGGUCUGGCCAUUCACUUGGCUGGGCUGGUACGUCCUGAUCUUUUACUUUGAGAAAAUUAGAGCGCUCAAAGCAGGCCCGCGCCUGAAUGCAUUAGCAUGGAAUAACAACUCUGCGACUUUGGCAUCGCCCUUUCGGGUGAGAGUUUUGUUGGUUUAGAGCCGAAGUAAUGAUUGAUAGGAGCAGUUGGGGGUGCUAGUAUCGCCGGGCGAGAGGUAAAAUUCUGGGACCCCGGUGAGACUAACUCAGGCGAAAGCAUUCACCAAGCAUGUCUUCUUUAAUCAAGAACUAAAGCUAAGGGAUCGAAGACGAUCAGAUACCGUCGUAGUCUUAGCCAUAAACGAUGUCGACUGGGAAUUGGGCAAGUUGGACUUCCUCAGGACCCUAAGAGAAAUCAAAGUAAUCGGACUCAGGGGGGAGUAUGCUCGCAAGAGUGAAAUUUAAAGGAAUUGACGGAAGGGCACCACCAGAUGUGGAGUCUGCGGCUCAAUUUGACUCAACACGGGAAAACUUACCAGGUCAAUACAUAGUAAGGAUUGACAGAUUGAAGUUCUUUCUUGAUUCUAUGGAUAGUGGUGCAUGGCCGUUCUUAGUCGGUGGAGUGAUCUGUCUGGUUAAUUCCGAUAACGGACGAGACCCCUGCCAUCUAACUAGCUGUCGCUAGUAUCUAGCGUCCGCUUGCGGGCUCAGCUUCUUAGAGGGACAAACUGCGUCCAGCAGUGGGAAGUUUGGGGCCAUAACAGGUCAGUGAUGCCCUUAUAAGGUCUGGGCUGCACGCGCACUACAAUGACGCAUGCAACGAGCAUAGCCUGGCUUGAAAAGGCCGGGUAAUCUGCAACGUGCGCCAAAGUGGGGAUUGAUGAUUGCAAUUGUUCAUCAUGAACUAGGAAUAUCUAGUAAGCGCAAGUCAACAACUUGCACUGAUUACGUCCCUGCCCUUUGUACACACCGCCCGUCGCUUUUACCGAUCGAAUAAUCAGGUGAAUGGAGUGGAGGGGGGGAGUGCUUCGGCAAAUCACCCCUGAAGCUCCGUGAAUCGGAUUAUUUAGAGGAAAAAUAAGUCGUAACAAGGUUUCC
RNAcentral lists this ribosomal RNA (1751 nucleotides) under Haplosporidium raabei. RNAcentral describes it as "SSU rRNA". It matches the Rfam family "Eukaryotic small subunit ribosomal RNA". The record is from RNAcentral. Lineage: Eukaryota; Endomyxa; Ascetosporea; Haplosporida; Haplosporidiidae.